UGAGGUGUCGUAUUUUCCUUUAACAACCACGUACACAAAGGUUUUAAAAAAGUUUAUGUUCCUGUUAAUUUCAAUUUGGAUCGUGAUUCUAAUUAAGAUUUUACUUAAAUUAGUAUUUUUAUUCUGCCUGUUCCUCUUAUUUACGUCUGCAUGGAUAUUUAAAGAUAUAAAGUACAAACAAUAAUAUCUUAAAGUCUAAAUCUACCUAAAGAUGCUCUGCAGGGAUGUACAGUAUAUAACUACAUUAAUCCAUAUUACUAUAAUUCACUAGUUGAACUUUUUUAAGUAUUUUAAAAUGAUUUUUACUUUUUUCAUUUGAAAGUAUUUAACUUUGCUUCAUUUUCCACACCAUCAGUAAAUAAGUAACCUAAAAAUAAAAAUGCUAAAAACAGCCUGCAGGUUUUCCAUCAGCUGAUUGGAUGUUUCCUCUGAGAAAAAGAAAAAAACUCCAAUAUGAACUCAUGAAUUUGUCUCAUUUCAAGGCGAACUGUCUCAUUACUCCAAAUCUCAGACAGAUCCAAACAUGAACCUCAUCCAGGAUCCUCCAAACCAAAACCAAGUCAUCACAGCAACCUUGAAAUUGACAUUUCAUCCUGUAACAAAUUAGUUGUCAAGAAAAUUUCUCCUCUGAUUUAACAUCCAUUAAAAAACCAUCAUAAUUAAGUCUUUUUGGACUCUUACUAAAACCUUGCAUGCGUCCACAGUGACCGUCUCAACAGUGAAAAUGUUCCUAAAAAGAGAUUUUAAAAUCCUCACCCUGGAUAAGAGCAGAGUUAAAAUGACUCCAAAUGUUAAAAUUCACGUGGAAAUCUGUUUUCACCUAAUUUAGGGGUCUGUUUUUCCUCACUGGACAUCAGAGGUUAAAGUGAUAAUUCGGUACAAACAACAAAUUAAAAUCAGAAAUAGAUAGAGAGGCCGAAUAAAUUUAUAAUUUGACUUCUUCUUGAGUUAAAUGUCAUUAAAUCAACUGUAAUUUAAGUAGGAUGUUUAAUAUUUUGGUUCGUUAAUCUUAAAAACUACAUCCCAUUUCUUGGACUCACUCAGACGUUUGUAUUUCUGCCUAAAAUCUUAAUAAAACACCAAAAAUACUCGCUCAAUAAUAACGUUUUAAACUAGUACAGGCCACAGUAGAGAAAAUCUAAUCUCAUCUGUUCCGGAUUAAAUAAUCUCAGUGUCUCUGAUUUGACUCUGAGCUGGUACGGAGGCCCGCAGGUCUCAGCGCGCAGUGUGAGCAGCAGGGUGGGAUCAGCUGCGGUGUGUUUUCUGGGACAACACCUUCAGGACAUCAGAGUCUGUCUGUGUGUGUCUGUGUGUCUGUGUGUGUGUGUGUGUCUGUGAUCCACCUGGACAGCUCUGCCUCUGUCUGUGCGCGCAGCUCAAUCACAUCCAGAUGGAGCUCUGAGGCUGUUUAUGCCUCUGGAAACACACACACACACUCACAGGUGCACCGAGUCCUGCUCUCAACAACAAUUAGACAGGUCACGUGAUCCAUUUACCGCUGGCUCUUCCAGAAAGGAGAGCUGAUGUGGAUUUGGAGCGCGGAUAGAGAGAGAAAUCAAACCUUGCGCACAGCUAAACAAACAUCUUAGAGAGAUUAUGCAGCUCUGACGGUCAGUUUGAACUCAGGAGGUGGUCACGGACUCUGAAACUAGAUUUGUUUUUUUCUCUCUGUCAGAUUUACUGGACCACAAAAAUAAAACACAAGAAGAAACGUUUCAGCUUUAAUUAAAUCAGAUUUACGCAUCUGUUUGUCUUCAUUCUGACUUUUUACCACAAAGCAAAUAAUAUAGGGACACUAAACUCACUUAAUUUAAAGGAUCAGACUCGUUAUGUUGCAGUUAAGACGCAUGCGUAACGCUCAGUAACCUCAUUAUUUUACAUCCCAGACGUCAAUCAGUAAACUUGUCAAAGACACGAAUUAUUAAUGUGAACUUACCAGUUAUUUAGUUGUGUAAGAAGGAUAAUGUAGUCAAGAUUCAUUAUAAUAAAGUGUAACUGUAAAUUAAAAGGUAGUUGGAUGAACAAAAACGGAAAAAAUAACACAAAACCGUCAAUUACGCAUCAAAAAUACAAACGUAAAAACUUUGUAUUUUACUUUUUAAAGCUGUUGUUUAAUUAUUUAAGGUGCGAACUAAAUAAGUGAGAUUUUACAGAUUAAUUUAGAUCCUUAAACGCAGCACGAGAAGAAGAGAGACAUCUAUGUUAGUGUACUUGAACUACACAGUCCCCAGCUGAACACACACACACACACAAACCUGCACCACGCUGAAGAGUAAGAGGAGACACAGCAGAAGAAGAAAAAAACAUGGAGGUUAAACUCUCCCAGUUUGACUUUAACCGGCUGAUAAACCCUCAUAAAUUCAUCAUAAAUGCAGUAAUUCAGAAAACGCAGAAGCAAAAUAAAGUGAAGAAAAACAAAAGGCUGUUAUCUGUGUUAGUGUCCCACAUUUACGCAUCGACUAAAACUACAAUUCAGGUUCCAGCAGUCAAACAAACUGCAGGUUCGAGUCUCUCUAAACCGCCUAAAAUCAAAGUGUAAUUUUCAAACUUGCUCCUAAAAUCUUCUCUAAUAUUUAAAAUCAUCUCUGUACAUCUUUAAAUAAAAUCCCAAAUCUCAAACGUGUUCAGGUGACCGAGAGUUUACGCACCAAACCUGCAGCAGGAGAUAAGCGCUAUCAGGUUGCUCUUCUUCCAUAUUGACACACGCACAUACACACGCACACACACAGUUUGUAAAGCUCAUCAUUCUGUAACAAAAGACAUGAGUGUGUGUGUGUGUUGCCUUCAGGCUCUGUGUAUUUGACUCUGCUGCUCGCUGACACAAUAACCCCGUAAGAACCUCAUAAGUCCUUAAUGAGGCCUUUUCAAUGCGCGUUUUAUGCGCUUUUUACGCGCAUUGGCAGCCUUUCCAUUGUGCUGAGGCCUCCUCUGCUCCUCGGGGACUCUUUUCAUUUCUACUCCGCAGGUCCAUAAACUAUAAACUCUCACAACAACAACCGAGCGGCCUGAUCCGCGCGCUCUGCAGCCCCGUGAAGCUGCUCCACACACGGUAGUGACAGGCAGGCUUCUCUCUUUACUUCCCUAAAGUGCAUUGUUGACAUCCUCUCCAUUGACCUCCAUCACCUCCCUCUGUCUCGUCCUUAUGAUGAAAAAUGAUUCACAGCCGUGUCUGCGCUUUCCUUCCUGACCCUGAAGAGCCGCAUCAAUCACGCAGACGUUUGUUUACACGCGAUAAUCCUCCUUUUAUUAAUAUCGAGGACGGCUCUCGUGGUUGUGAUUUUACGCGUCUCUCCAGCUGACCCUCCUGUGAUAGGUGCAGGGGAGGAGGAGCGCAUUGUUUACGGUACUUUCACCGGGGGUUGACUCAUCUGACUGCUGGCCCCGGGGGAGCGUUUGUGCGCAGGAAUUUUGAGUCUCCCUGACUCAUUAAAAUCUCAUCCACGCGGGUCACAAACUGACAGUCACGUUUACACUUUCACCGCCUGCUUGACCUCACAGACACACACACACACACUCAUACAUACAGACAGACACACACUU
This 3540-nucleotide long non-coding RNA is filed under the name Xyrichtys novacula (pearly razorfish). Lineage: Eukaryota; Metazoa; Chordata; Actinopteri; Labriformes; Labridae. The record is from RNAcentral.